UACGAAGGGGGCGAGCGUUGUUCGGAUUUACUGGGCGUAAAGGGCGCGCAGGCGGCUCAUUUUGUCAGGCGUGAAAGCCCCGGGCUUAACCUGGGAACUGCGUUUGAUACGGAUGGGCUAGAGUUCGGGAGAGGAGAGUGGAAUUCCCAGUGUAGAGGUGAAAUUCGUAGAUAUCGGGAGGAACACCGGUGGCGAAGGCGGCGACCUGGGUCGAUACUGACGCUGAUGCGCGAAAGCGUGGGGAGCAAACAGG
Molecule: ribosomal RNA, 253 nt
Filed under: uncultured bacterium
Lineage: Bacteria
Description: partial 16S ribosomal RNA
Rfam family: Bacterial small subunit ribosomal RNA
Source: RNAcentral